GACUUUGAUUCUGGCUCCAGGACGAACGCCUGGCGGCACGCUUAACCACAUGCAAGUCGAACGAGAGAAGAGAAGCUUGCUUUUCUGAUCUAGUGGCGGACGGGUGAGUAACACGUGAGCAAUCUGCCUUUCAGAGGGGGAUACCGAUUGGAAACGAUCGUUAAUACCGCAUAAUAUAAUUGAACCGCAUGAUUUGAUUAUCAAAGAUUUAUCGCUGAAAGAUGAGCUCGCGUCUGAUUAGCUAGUUGGUAAGGUAACGGCUUACCAAGGCGACGAUCAGUAGCCGGACUGAGAGGUUGAUCGGCCACAUUGGGACUGAGACACGGCCCAGACUCCUACGGGAGGCAGCAGUGGGGAAUAUUGCACAAUGGAGGAAACUCUGAUGCAGCGAUGCCGCGUGAGGGAAGAAGGUUUUAGGGUUGUAAACCUCUGUCUUCAGGGACGAAAAAAGACGGUACCUGAGGAGGAAGCUCCGGCUAACUACGUGCCAGCAGCCGCGGUAAUACGUAGGGAGCGUGCGUUGUCCGGAAUUACUGGGUGUAAAGGGAGCGUAGGCGGGAUCGCAAGUCAGAUGUGAAAACUAUGGGCUUAACCCAUAAACUGCAUUUGAAACUGUGGUUCUUGAGUGAAGUAGAGGUAAGCGGAAUUCCUAGUGUAGCGGUGAAAUGCGUAGAUAUUAGGAGGAACAUCAGUGGCGAAGGCGGCUUACUGGGCUUUAACUGACGCUGAGGCUCGAAAGCGUGGGGAGCAAACAGGAUUAGAUACCCUGGGUAGUCCACGCCGUAAACGAUGAUUACUAGGUGGUGGGGGGGGACUGACCCCUUCCGUGCCGCAGCAAACG
Molecule: ribosomal RNA, 841 nt
Filed under: uncultured bacterium
Lineage: Bacteria
Description: bacterial SSU rRNA
Rfam family: Bacterial small subunit ribosomal RNA
Source: RNAcentral